UUGCAGGUUGUUGCAUAGGUUCAAAAGGACUAAUAGCUGAGUGUUGGAUGCUCCGGAAGGCCAAAAUAUGAAGAUGCAGCAGGUCAACACGGGCGCCCGUGUACAUCAACACGGCCCGUGUUGUUUGUCAGGAAGGAGCACUCAAAGAGGUAAAACAGAGGGUUAACACGGGCACCCGUUACAUCAACACGGCCCGUGUUGAUGCCUCUGUAGCUUGCUCUAAAAAU
RNAcentral lists this long non-coding RNA (227 nucleotides) under Lathyrus oleraceus (garden pea). RNAcentral's name for it is "Pisum sativum (pea) long non-coding RNA (PSAT_LNC035096)". Lineage: Eukaryota; Viridiplantae; Streptophyta; Magnoliopsida; Fabales; Fabaceae. The record is from RNAcentral.